AGUGAACGCUGGCGGCAGGCUUAACACAUGCAAGUCGAACGGCAGCACAGUAAGAGCUUGCUCUUAUGGGUGGCGAGUGGCGGAAGGGUGAGGUAUACAUCGGAACCUACUCUUUCGUGGGGGUUAACGAAGCGAAACUUACGAUAAUACCGCAUACGACCCACCGGUGAAAGCAGGGGAUCUUCGGACCUUGCGCGAUUGAACGAGCCGCUGUCGGAGUAGUUAGUUGGCGGGGUAAAGACCAACCAAGGCGACGAUCCGUAGCUGGUCUGAGAGAAGGGUCGGCGACACUAGAACUGAAACACGGUCCAUACGCCUACGGUAGGCAGCAGUGGGCAAUGUUGGGCAGUAGUCGCGAGCCUGAUCCAGCCAUACCGCGUGGGUUGAAGAGGCCUUGGGGUUGGGAAGCCGUUUUGUUGGGAGAGAAAAGCUGCAGGUUAAGACGCAGCUGUACUGACGGUACCCGAUGAAUAAGCACCGGCUAACUUCGUG
Molecule: ribosomal RNA, 492 nt
Filed under: uncultured bacterium
Lineage: Bacteria
Description: partial 16S ribosomal RNA
Rfam family: Bacterial small subunit ribosomal RNA
Source: RNAcentral